UGGAUGUCUUCAUGAGGCGCUCUAGGGAC
Molecule: non-coding RNA, 29 nt
Filed under: Macaca fascicularis (crab-eating macaque)
Lineage: Eukaryota; Metazoa; Chordata; Mammalia; Primates; Cercopithecidae
Also listed under: 1 other name
Source: RNAcentral